CAAUAGCGUAUAUUAAAGUUGUUGCAGUUAAAAGCUCGUAGUUGGAUUUCUGGCAGUGUGACUCCGGCCGGCGUGAUGCCGGCUCGAGCGCGCUACCAUCCUUCUGUCAACCUUCGCGGGUUUUACCGCCCGCCCUGGGGCUCAGAUAUUUUACCUUGAGAAAAUUAGAGUGUUUCAGGCAGGCUAUCGCCGGAAUACAUUAGCAUGGAAUAAUGGAAAAGGACUUCAACCUCUUCUGUUGGUCUGAGAGGCUGUAGUAAUGAUUAAUAGGGAUAGUUGGGGGCAUUAGUACUUGACUGUCAGAGGUGAAAUUCUCCGAUUUGUUAAAGACGGACUACUGCGAAAGCAUUUGCCAAGGAUGUUUUUCUAUUGAUAC
RNAcentral lists this ribosomal RNA (376 nucleotides) under uncultured eukaryote. Its description in RNAcentral is "SSU rRNA". It matches the Rfam family "Eukaryotic small subunit ribosomal RNA", at positions 592 to 979 of the family's 1831-position model. The record is from RNAcentral.